Long non-coding RNA from Capsicum annuum, 506 nucleotides. RefSeq lists it as uncharacterized. The transcript has 4 exons. The record is from RefSeq and is a predicted model, not a curated record. Lineage: Eukaryota; Viridiplantae; Streptophyta; Magnoliopsida; Solanales; Solanaceae.
AUUCUGGGAGGAUUUAUGUUGUUCCAGUUGUGAGAGGGCCGGAUGCUGGAGUUGGACAAAUGGCGCGAAUUUGCAUUAGUCGGCACUUCAACGGCUACUGGACUAGCUAGAAAAUGGUUCCAAAACUUGACAGGGCGAGAAUGUUUGAAUAAUUUAAGAAGAACUUUUUCAUAAGAUGUAGAGCCAGACUUAAUGAUCUCUUGGAAUAUGCCCGAAGGAAAUCGGUAAAAAAUGGAUUUCUGAACCCUUAUGGCCACUGUAUAAGCGCUACUGGAAUAGCCCCGAAUACCAAUUGUUAAGGGAAAAGGGAAAGAUAGCUCGAGAAUUAUCCAAGGGUGGCUCCUUACAUACUGCAGGUGUUAGAAGUACUCUUGCUGUGAAGGAAAAAUUGAAAAAAGAAAAGGGUAGGGAACUACCAAAUGAUGAGAUUUUCGAGGAGACUCAUCUGAGAAAGAAAAAGAACCCGACUGAUGAAGAUAUGUGGGUUGAACCUCGUGCAAAAGCUG